AACCUGCCCAAGAGAUCGGGAUAACACCUGGAAACAGAUGCUAUACCGGAUAACAANAGAUGAUGCCUAUCAACUGUUUAAAAGAUGGUUCUGCUAUCACUCUUGGAUGGACCUGCGGUGCAUUAGCUAGUUGGUAGGGUAACGGCCUACCAAGGCGAUGAUGCAUAGCCGAGUUGAGAGACUGAUCGGCCACAUUGGGACUGAGACACGGCCCAAACUCCUACGGGAGGCAGCAGC
This 237-nucleotide ribosomal RNA is filed under the name uncultured Lactobacillus sp. Its description in RNAcentral is "partial 16S ribosomal RNA". It matches the Rfam family "Bacterial small subunit ribosomal RNA", at positions 123 to 355 of the family's 1533-position model. The record is from RNAcentral. Lineage: Bacteria; Bacillati; Bacillota; Bacilli; Lactobacillales; Lactobacillaceae.